This is a long non-coding RNA of Telopea speciosissima, 354 nucleotides long. RefSeq lists it as uncharacterized. The transcript has 3 exons. The record is from RefSeq and is a predicted model, not a curated record. Lineage: Eukaryota; Viridiplantae; Streptophyta; Magnoliopsida; Proteales; Proteaceae.
GCAGAAGAAGAUGAAGAAAAACUAAUAAUUGCCAUUUUUUUAACUCAUGAUUUGGAUCAAAUUAUGUAAUCAAACCACUUAGAGAUGAAGGGGGUAUGAUCUAUGGACUCUCCAGGAACAUCUUCAAGCUUGGAAGGCUUCUCUUUUAUUCCCACAAGCCUCGCUAGAUUUCCAACAGCAGUAGUUCUCAGCGACACAUCGAUCAGAACAACCACUCUAGCUCCAAUCUUUGCUCCCUCUUCGAUCUUUACAUUUCCCAAAAUCGUAAAACUAGCUCCAAUCAAAACCCCAUCACCGAUCUUCGGGUGUCAAUCCUCUCCAACCUUACCAGUCCCAUCUAGGGUGACAUGAUGC